This 1227-nucleotide unclassified non-coding RNA is filed under the name Hevea brasiliensis (rubber tree). The record is from RNAcentral. Lineage: Eukaryota; Viridiplantae; Streptophyta; Magnoliopsida; Malpighiales; Euphorbiaceae.
CUAUUACACAAUUUUGGCCUCAAUGUCAACAACAUCGAACCUGAGCACUCCUCAAAGUCCUUGAGGAUAUAUAUGAAGAUGAAAUAUGAGCGCACCAGCAGCGUGCGAUGAGAAAGCCUAAGGACCAAUAGGUGAAUCUUGAAUAGUUUAGUUUCCAGAAGCUGGAUCGUUUCUGAAUUGCUGCUCUACCAUUGGAGGGAGGAGAAGCGCAAGCCUGGUUUUGUAUCUUGCAAUGCGUCUAAGCCUUUCUUCCCUUAAUCGUGAUCUAAUCCUUUUAGCACGCUUGACAUGUCUCUGCAAAAGUUCUUUCGGAGAUAAAUGCUCAACAGAUUCCCCAGCCUCUUCCUCUUCUUCUUUAUCUCCCUCCUUUUUCACAGGAGAUUCAGCAUCUUGUGGAGCUAGUGCCAAGGGUCUAGGAAGAGAUCUUACCCCAUCCAUGUAUUGGGACUGAGUGUCAUCUGGAAGCCCAUUCCUCAACCACGAGCGACAGAGGGUGUAGAGAGAAGCAUUAUCACAAAUUCGGACCUUUCUGUCUCUGAUUAUAGCAAAAGUUUCAUCCUUACUUCUGUCCCUCUUGUCUCUGAAACCAUUACAAUCUGAAAGGGAAGGCUGAGUAGAAGCAAUCUUGUUAUGCGAAGAACUGACUACUGGAAAUCCCUUAACCGCACCAGGCAAGACACCACUCGAAGCCGCAGGACCAGCAGAAUUGACAGUAGGAGACGAUCCAAGAAGAGCGUGUUGUAAAUGACUCGGUCUAACACCCGCAGACUGACCCGAACCCGGAUCCAUCUGAUUCACCCCAAAAACUGGUCUAGACCCGAGGUGGCUAACAACUGGCCGAUUCGGGUAAUUACUAGGUUUGGACAAAAACCCGCGGCCGGAGGAAGCAACUGGGUAGAGAAUGCUGUGGAGAUGAGGUUGAGAAUCGGGAUUAGGAGGUUUUAGUACUAAUUGAGAGUAACCGGGAUUGGAUGAGGGCGGUAAGCGUUGGGUAGAUGGAAAGUGAGAAGAUUGGAGGGAAAAAGGGGGAUGUGGUUGUGGGGUGGGUGGUCUUACAGGGUUAGAGAAAAUUGGUCUUGUGGGUAUACCGGUGGUUAUAGCUGCAUCGGCUGUGGCGGUGUUGGUGGCGGCGGUGGGCGGAGGAUCCGGCGGAGCUGGUGGGGUAGAGAGUGCCAUGCUUUGGUGUUGGCGGGGAAAACUUUUGGGUAUUUUUAUUAGGGGGAGAAG